Molecule: ribosomal RNA, 253 nt
Filed under: uncultured bacterium
Lineage: Bacteria
Description: partial 16S ribosomal RNA
Rfam family: Bacterial small subunit ribosomal RNA
Source: RNAcentral
UACGAAGGGGGCUAGCGUUGCUCGGAAUGACUGGGCGUAAAGGGCGCGUAGGCGGAUGGCACAGUCAGAUGUGAAAUUCCCGGGCUUAACCUGGGGGCUGCAUUUGAUACGUGUGAUCUAGAGUGAGGAAGAGGGUCGUGGAAUUCCCAGUGUAGAGGUGAAAUUCGUAGAUAUUGGGAAGAACACCGGUGGCGAAGGCGGCGACCUGGUCCGUUGACUGACGCUGAGGCGCGAAAGCGUGGGGAGCAACAGG